This 216-nucleotide unclassified non-coding RNA is filed under the name uncultured fungus. RNAcentral's name for it is "sequence contains ITS1, 5.8S rRNA gene". The record is from RNAcentral. Lineage: Eukaryota; Fungi.
CCAAACAAAAACCAAAACAUGGGUUAAGAGGAAGUGACGAGAUAACGCAAGUUUUCAAGUCGCUUCCUUUUUUCCCUACUCUAGCAACCUCUGUCUUGUACGGAGAUUUGCAUACAAUUGUUGAAGGCUUUUUCAACCAUAACCAAACCACUAUAACUUUUUUCUAAUCUUUUUUCCUCUUGUAAAAGAGAAAAAAAACAAACAAAAAACCAAAGA